Long non-coding RNA from Bacillus rossius redtenbacheri, 1799 nucleotides. RefSeq lists it as uncharacterized. Lineage: Eukaryota; Metazoa; Arthropoda; Insecta; Phasmatodea; Bacillidae. The transcript is spliced from 3 exons. The record is from RefSeq and is a predicted model, not a curated record.
UGCUUAUAUUUUCAGCCAAAUACACAUUUCUGUAUGAAGAAUUCCUGCCCAAACGGACACAGCGGACUUGCUGCUGCUGAGCCUACGAACUCUUCACCAGGAGCUAUCGCUGGAGGAAGAAUAGAAUUGCUAAGAGGGCUGCUGGCACUGCUCCCUGUAGACGUUUGUUGUUGAUGCCCAAUUCCUGCACAUGUCAACAUCAGCACCAUCAAUACUUUUAGUUUUACAGUGUUGCAGGGCCAGCAGGCUCGGCAGGACGGGAACUGCACCCAUGCCUGGGCCGCCCACGCCGGCCACCGUGUUCAGCUUCGCCAGCUCCCGGUGGUAGGAGUCCAGCGCCAUGCGGAUCUCCUCUUGCGUGCGGUCCAUCUGCGCCCCGCCCCCGCCGCUGAACAGGUGCGGAAACAACAGACUAUUAGCCAACGUGGGGUGCUGUCCUCGGAAUCACUCAAUCCAGAUACGACAGCCGCUGAAAUGCAAAACAAGCAUGUGGCGUUUGCCUUUCGUUUGAAAAAAAGUGGCAAGACUGUUAAUGUGACUUUGUCUGAAGUAAUCUUAAGACAGAAAUAGAACAGGUAUUGAGAGAUGAACUAAGUAACCUUUACAGGUUUGAAAGUUAAAGGGUUGAAUGUACAGUUGGAUAAUAAUUUCAUUUUUUUAAAAAGAUUUUUUUGAAGCUGCCAUGUAGUGAUUACAAGCCUCUAUUAUAUUGUGCUUGGUUUGACUGCCAGGAUCUCUGCAUCAUUAAUAAAACCAGAUAUUUUAGUAUGAGAAACUAAUUAACUGAUAUCUUAUCAAAAUAACCUAAUAAGUGGAAGAAAUUUUCAUUUAAAAGCACUAAUAUUUAUUCUUUCUUAAAAGACAAUAGGUUCCUGAUAGACUAUUAUUUCCUCUCACAUCCUUUGGGAAUUGAAUUGGGAACUGCAACUGUAAAUAAUUAGUAACUCCAUAUUAGGUACCUACAUCUGGAAGAUUAAAGAUUGUUUUUCAUCAUUUAAUAAUAUUUUUACUAAAAUUCAUAAGCUUGCUUUUUGUUUGAAUUAUUUAUUGGUUUGGAAUCCAAAAAGAGUCGUUUUGGCUCUCACUGCACCUGGAAAAAAAAAAACUACGGAGUUUAGAUUGCAUUAAAUAUUAAAAAUUAUUUGAUUUAGAAGUAUUUAAGUAAUUACAUCUUAACACGCAUUACAUUCAAUACUAUCAUAUGCAAUUUAAGUCUAGAAUUCUCUAAAUAAAAUCGGGAAAGUCUUUUGCACAACUUUAUCUUAUUUCUUAUUGUUUCGUGUCCUCCCCUCAUAAUAUUUUGAUGGUGAUCAAAUGAGAUGGCUUGCAUCCAUUAGUAACCUCUAACUUACAAAUCUGCUUGUUCAGUUCUGAGGUAGGAGAACCUCUGAUAACCUCCGAGAACCUAUAGGGACUCAAACCUACACCACCCAGUUUGCAUUCUGUCUCAGUUACAUCAGGUGUGUCAGCGUAGCUUACAAUAUUUUCUUAACUCCUGUAAAGAAGGCUAAUGAAGUCCAGUAGAAGAAUGAGACUGUGUUAUAAGUGAAUUUGGAAAAUUGGCAAGAAAUGCAGAAGAAAAAUUUACAUAUUCUUGAAACUGACAUUACAAAUAUUUAUUUUCUCAUCAACUAAAUUUAAUCCAAUGCCUGAAAAAAAUAAUAUGUGACAAUAUCCACCAUACUUGGUAAUUUCGUUACCUGUAGAUACAUGCAUUUAAACACAAUCAUAAACACAUUUAAGAGUCAGUUUACAUGUAUUGACUCCUUUCCCUACAAAAUAAACAAAAAGGAUAAUGC